CUCGUAGGCGGUUCGUCGCGUCCGGUGUGAAAGUCCAUCGCCUAACGGUGGAUCUGUGCCGGGUACGGGCGGGCUUGAGUGCGGUAGGGGAGACUGGAAUUCCCGGUGUAACGGUGGAAUGUGUAGAUAUCGGGAAGAACACCAAUGGCGAAGGCAGGUCUCUGGGCCGUUACUGACGCUGAGGAGCGAAAGCGUGGGGAGCGAACA
RNAcentral lists this ribosomal RNA (207 nucleotides) under uncultured bacterium. RNAcentral's name for it is "partial 16S ribosomal RNA". It matches the Rfam family "Bacterial small subunit ribosomal RNA", at positions 568 to 774 of the family's 1533-position model. The record is from RNAcentral.